Molecule: long non-coding RNA, 327 nt
Filed under: Panax ginseng (ginseng)
Lineage: Eukaryota; Viridiplantae; Streptophyta; Magnoliopsida; Apiales; Araliaceae
Description: long non-coding RNA (PGIN_LNC009083)
Source: RNAcentral
UGAGAGUGACAUAUAUGAAGGAGAUGUUUCUUGGUUAAUUUAUAUAUGGAGUAAGUAUAAAGUAUUGGCUUAAUCUACAAGGCAUUCACUAUUGCAUGUGGAUGGUUCAAAUUUAGGACCCACCACAUGGGAUUAUCAUGGACCUUGUAUCUAAUUUUUGGUAUUAAAUUUUGUUACUCACCUUAUUACAUGCAUGCUUUCAAGUUUCAAUAAUUGUACUUUUGUUUGUAUAAUACUCCAUGCAUAUAUAUUCUUCUUAACUUAUUAUAUAUGUUUCAUCAAAAUAUAUAUUAAUUAAAAAUAAUUUUUUUAAAAAACAUUAUAUAC